This 69-nucleotide transfer RNA is filed under the name Bos taurus (domestic cattle). It matches the Rfam family "tRNA". Rfam says of the family: Transfer RNA (tRNA) molecules are approximately 80 nucleotides in length. Their secondary structure includes four short double-helical elements and three loops (D, anti-codon, and T loops). Further hydrogen bonds mediate the characteristic L-shaped molecular structure. tRNAs have two regions of fundamental functional importance: the anti-codon, which is responsible for specific mRNA codon recognition, and the 3' end, to which the tRNAs corresponding amino acid is attached (by aminoacyl-tRNA synthetases). tRNAs cope with the degeneracy of the genetic code in two manners: having more than one tRNA (with a specific anti-codon) for a particular amino acid; and 'wobble' base-pairing, i.e. permitting non-standard base-pairing at the 3rd anti-codon position. Lineage: Eukaryota; Metazoa; Chordata; Mammalia; Artiodactyla; Bovidae. The record is from Rfam by way of RNAcentral.
UCCCUGGUGGUCCAGUAAGACUCUGUGCUCCCAAUUCAGGGGACCCAGGUUCAGUUCCUGGUUAGGGGA